Molecule: ribosomal RNA, 826 nt
Filed under: Chytridium olla
Lineage: Eukaryota; Fungi; Chytridiomycota; Chytridiomycetes; Chytridiales; Chytridiaceae
Description: eukaryotic LSU rRNA
Rfam family: Eukaryotic large subunit ribosomal RNA
Source: RNAcentral
GCUCAACUUUGAAAUCUCUCGGUUUCCCUGUGCGAAUUGUAGGUCUAAAGAAGCGUUUUCGGGGGCGGCUCGGGUAAAAGUCCUUUGGAACAAGGCAUCAGAGAGGGAUGAGAAUCCCGUACCUGACCCGGUGUUCGCUCCUAUGUGAUACGUCUUCAAAGAGUCGGAUAGCUUGGGAAUGCUGUCCAAAAUGGGUGGUAAAUACCAUCUAAGGCUAAUUAUUGGCGAGAGACCGAUAGCGAACAAGUACCGUGAGGGAAAGAUGAAAAGAACUUUGAAAAGAGAGUUAAACAGUACGUGAAAUUGUCUAAAGGGAAACGGCUUUGAAACCAGUAUUGCGCGUCAGAGAUCAGCCAUCCAUUAGGGUGGUGCACUCUCUGGCGUCGCGGGUCAGCAUCGGUUUUGCUUAAAGUAUAAAGCUUGAGGAAGGUGACCCCUUGUGGGUGUUAUAGCCUCAAGUCAUGCUUUGGGCGAGACCGAGGACCGCAGCCAUGCUAUUGGGGAAGCGGCCGCCUCUUUUUACGCGUUGCCAAACAACUUGUUGAUUGGUGGCGUCUUGUGAAUUGCGCACGGUCGUCUAACCACACCUUGGCUUAGGAUGCUGACGAAAUGGUUUUAAACCACCCGUCUUGAAACACGGACCAAGGAGUCCAACACAUAUGCGAGUCUUUGGGUGGCAAACCCACGGGCGUAAUGAAAGUGAAAGGGUACGAACUUUGUUGUGCAGUACCGACCGGUCUGGAUUUUUUUGAUGGAUCUGAGUAUGAGCAUAUGUGCUGGGACCCGAAAGAUGGUGAACUAUGCCUGGAUAGGGUGAAGCCAGAGG